GAGCCUGGGGAACAGUGGGUUAACUGCCUUGCUCAGGGGCAGAAUUACAGAUUUUUACCUUGUCAACUCAGGGAUUCGAUCCAGCAAACUUUCGGUUACUGGCCCAGCAACAUUUUGGUUACUAAGCACUAGGCUACCUGUAUGUUAAGUUUAGCAUGAAUACAGUAUAUAGUUGUUGUUGCAGUUGUUCUUCAUAUGUUUAAUAUUACUGACAUACUAACAGUAAGUAGAGAUAUUAGUGUAUUACCUGUAUAUUUCAGAUGCUGGUGCUGCUACUGCUGGACCAAGUGAUGUGAUGUACAGAUUCAACACAGAAAGUUGGACAAGAAAAAGAAAACUGAUCCAAAAGAAAAUCCAGUCUAUUCUGAGGUCAAGACAGGGAAGACCACAGCAGCAACUGGACCUGUUGAUGUGACCUAUGCUGAGGUUGACUUUAAACAGAAGGCCAAAGCCAAGAAGAAGAAAGAAACAGCAACCCCACCUGAGACAGAUUCAGUCUAUUCUCAAGUGAAGCCAGGUACAGCCCCAGGUACUUGAGGGGGCAGGGAUGGAGGGAUUGAGUAAUGGAGGGAUGAAAGGAUGGAGGGAUGGAAGAACACACCAUCCGAGGAGGAACCUGGAAUAUGGCUUUUGUACGCUCAACACACACACAAACACACACAAAAUAACACCUUGUACAUUAAGGAGUUCUUACCUAUUUUAUUUACUUAUUUUAUUGUAUUUAAGCAUGGUUUAAUUGUGUUUUAUUGUAGCAGCUUUUUUAUUAUAAGGUGUAAUGCUGAUGGAUCUUAUCUGCAGCCACAGUAAUUGUGUCUGCUUUGUAUUGUGUAUUGAAUUGUGAUGUUGAUUUCUCUGUCAUUCAGAUGAUAGAAUAAAAUAUCUGUACAUGAAUUUCCAAAAAGUAUUAUUCACGUUUUCUUCUAAUGGCCUGUACUUUUACAAUAUCUUUGCGUUGUGCUUUAUUAAUAAA
Long non-coding RNA from Oncorhynchus nerka (sockeye salmon), 970 nucleotides. RefSeq lists it as uncharacterized. The transcript has 5 exons. The record is from RefSeq and is a predicted model, not a curated record. NCBI's taxonomy places the organism in Eukaryota, Metazoa, Chordata, Actinopteri, Salmoniformes, Salmonidae.